This 72-nucleotide transfer RNA is filed under the name Lachnospiraceae bacterium. RNAcentral describes it as "tRNA-Arg". It matches the Rfam family "tRNA". From Rfam's summary of the family: Transfer RNA (tRNA) molecules are approximately 80 nucleotides in length. Their secondary structure includes four short double-helical elements and three loops (D, anti-codon, and T loops). The record is from RNAcentral. Lineage: Bacteria; Bacillati; Bacillota; Clostridia; Lachnospirales; Lachnospiraceae.
GCGCCUAUAGCUUAAUGGAUAAAGCAGAAGUUUCCGGAGCUUUUAAUAGGGGUUCGAUUCCCUUUGGGCGCG